AUGCGUCUCAUGCAUUAUGUGUUUCGCCCUUACAUUGGUGAAUUUGUUGUUGUCUACUUUGAUGAUAUCCUUGUGUUUAGCAAAUCUCUCAAAGAGCAUGUCAACCACCUUCGCACCGUGCUACAAACUCUUCGAAAAGAGCAACUUUAUGCUAAUAUGGAAAAAUGCCUCUUUGGUGUUGAUAAGCUUGUUUUCUUGGGUUUUGUAGUAUCUUAUAAGGGUGUUCAUGUUGAUGAAUCUAAGAUCAAUGCUAUUAAAACUUGGCCCCAACCGACCAAUUUGCAACAAGUGCGUAGUUUUCUUGGUUUAGCCGGUUUCUACCGUAGAUUUGUGAAGGAUUUUAGCACCAUUGCUUCACCUUUGCAUGCUUUGAGUAAGAAAAAUGCACCGUUUGUUUGGGGAACAUCCCAAGAUAUCGCUUUCAAUGAGCUUAAGAAUUUGCUUACUCAUGCUCCCGUGCUUGCAUUACCCAACUUUGACAAACCUUUUGAAAUUCAUUGCGAUGCUAGUGGUAAUGGCAUAGGAGGUGUGUUAAUGCAAGAGAAGCGCCCCAUAGCAUACUUUAGUGAGAAACUCUCCGGCGCGCAACUCAAUUAUCCCAUCUAUGACAAAGAGCUAUAUGCUUUAGUGCGAGUUUUGCGUGAAUGGGAACAUUACCUUCGCCCUCAUGAAUUUAUCAUCCAUACCGAUCAUGAAACGCUUAAAUAUCUUAAGGGUCAAACUAAGUUGAACAAGCGUCAUGCUAAAUGGAGUGAAUUUAUUGAGUCUUUUCCUUAUGUCAUCAAGUAUAUUAAAGGUAAGGAAAAUGUUGUGGCGGAUGCACUUACCCGUAUAUGCAUGCUUGUUACUCAACUUGAAUUGAAUGUCAUUGGCUUUGAGCACAUAAAAGACUUGUAUGAGCAUGAUCCUACUUUUGCCAUUCCUUAUGCCAAAUGUUUGACGCAUACAUCUUGGGAAUGCUAUUACAUCAAAGAUGAAUAUCUUAUGAGAGCUAACAAACUUUGCAUCCCCGAGUCUUCUCUUCGUUUGUUGAUUUUGCAAGAAUCUCAUGGAGGAGGACUAAUGGGACAUUUUGAACGCGACAAGACCCUUGCUACGCUCUCCAAGAACUACUUUUGGCCUAAGAUGUUCCGCGACGUCAACCGCUUCACCAAUCGAUGCUCUACAUGUCGCAAAGCUAAGUCUCAAACUCAAUCUCAAGGCCUUUACAUGCCACUUCCAAUUCCAUAUCAACCAUGGGAAGAUAUUAGCAUGGAUUUGUGCUUGGUUUGCCUAGAACUAGAAACGACAAGGAUUCUGUUUUUGUUGUUGUGGACCGAUUCUCCAAAAUGGCUCAUUUCAUUCCUUGGAACAAGAUAG
This 1359-nucleotide ribosomal RNA is filed under the name Triticum aestivum (bread wheat). RNAcentral's name for it is "partial small subunit ribosomal RNA". Lineage: Eukaryota; Viridiplantae; Streptophyta; Magnoliopsida; Poales; Poaceae. The record is from RNAcentral.